UGCAAGUCGAGCGAAUGGAUUAAGAGCUUGCUCUUAUGAAGUUAGCGGCGGACGGGUGAGUAACACGUGGGUAACCUGCCCAUAAGACUGGGAUAACUCCGGGAAACCGGGGCUAAUACCGGAUAACAUUUUGAACUGCAUGGUUCGAAAUUGAAAGGCGGCUUCGGCUGUCACUUAUGGAUGGACCCGCGUCGCAUUAGCUAGUUGGUGAGGUAACGGCUCACCAAGGCAACGAUGCGUAGCCGACCUGAGAGGGUGAUCGGCCACACUGGGACUGAGACACGGCCCAGACUCCUACGGGAGGCAGCAGUAGGGAAUCUUCCGCAAUGGACGAAAGUCUGACGGAGCAACGCCGCGUGAGUGAUGAAGGCUUUCGGGUCGUAAAACUCUGUUGUUAGGGAAGAACAAGUGCUAGUUGAAUAAGCUGGCACCUUGACGGUACCUAACCAGAAAGCCACGGCUAACUACGUGCCAGCAGCCGCGGUAAUACGU
RNAcentral lists this ribosomal RNA (492 nucleotides) under Bacillus sp. CSu2_13. RNAcentral's name for it is "bacterial SSU rRNA". It matches the Rfam family "Bacterial small subunit ribosomal RNA", at positions 56 to 528 of the family's 1533-position model. The record is from RNAcentral. Lineage: Bacteria; Bacillati; Bacillota; Bacilli; Caryophanales; Bacillaceae.